Molecule: long non-coding RNA, 612 nt
Filed under: Equus caballus (horse)
Lineage: Eukaryota; Metazoa; Chordata; Mammalia; Perissodactyla; Equidae
Description: lncRNA (ENSECAG00000048861.1)
Source: RNAcentral
ACGGAUCCUGGGGGAAAGGCCAGCAACAAGGAUCCCAUUUUAGGACACCAUCUUACAUUAAGGCACCAUUUCUCCUUCGGCUCUUCUUGGCUACAACAAUUUCUCAGACUUUCCUUGUUUUGAUGACCUUGACAGUUCUUGAGAAGUCCUGGCCAGUAUUGUUAGAGUAAGAGAUGCGCUAUAUAAGACACGGAUGCCCAAGGAUUCACAUUUUGAUGAAAUGAAGCAUGAAGUUUUUGUUUCCCUGCAGCAGUGGAGUGACACACAACUCAUGAGAAGCUGUUCAUGACCAUUCUAAAAGCAGUGCGCAACAUCUGGUAGAACUGAGAAACUUGCCAGGGACAGUUACAUGUGCCAAGUAAUCUAGAAUCAAUUAUCACCUUGUCAACUGAGUAAAAAUGACUUAAAUGCCCUAAAUUCACUCACUCAUGUGGGUUCUCUGGAACAGUUAACCGAAACCUCAGUUUCAUAAAAUAUAACUACCCCCUCAGUAAGCAUAAUUGUCACAUUCAGUCAUAUGAUCAUUCUGACCAUGUUGAAAAUAACAAGCUUUUUCAUUACGCAAUGACUCUCAGGUUUUGCUUUAUCUUUUGAAUUAAAAAAAUAUUUAAG